RNAcentral lists this unclassified non-coding RNA (180 nucleotides) under uncultured Agaricales. RNAcentral's name for it is "sequence contains ITS1". The record is from RNAcentral. Lineage: Eukaryota; Fungi; Basidiomycota; Agaricomycetes; Agaricales.
UUGAAAAAUCCUUAGGAUGUUGCUGGCCUCUUUAAAAGGGGGCAUGUGCACUCCAACCUUUUCAACCCACCUGUGAACCUAUUGUAGGCCGGACGAUAACAAGUCUGUGUCUAUGUUUUUAUACACACUCUUAAACAAGUUUAUAGAAUGUUAUAAAAUGACCUUAUGGUCGAAAUAAUA